UACGAAGGGGGCUAGCGUUGCUCGGAAUCACUGGGCGUAAAGGGCGCGUAGGCGGCGUUUUAAGUCGGGGGUGAAAGCCUGUGGCUCAACCACAGAAUGGCCUUCGAUACUGGUUGGCUUGAGACCGGAAGAGGACAGCGGAACUGCGAGUGUAGAGGUGAAAUUCGUAGAUAUUCGCAAGAACACCCGUGGCUAAGGCGGCUCUCUAGUACGGUACUGACGCUGAGACGCGAAAGCGUGGGGAGCAAACAGG
Molecule: ribosomal RNA, 253 nt
Filed under: uncultured bacterium
Lineage: Bacteria
Description: partial 16S ribosomal RNA
Rfam family: Bacterial small subunit ribosomal RNA
Source: RNAcentral